AUGCAUGUCUAAGUCCAAGCUGUGUGUUUGUGGGUGAAAGCUCGCGCGCAUGGCGAAACCGCGGACGGCUCAUUAAAUCAGUUGUGGUCCGAAUGGGCUAGUGAUAUCUUACUUGGAUAACUGUGGUAAUUCCAGAGCUAAUACAUGCAACUUAUAGUCCUGGUGGCGUGGGCUUCGCGGCUCGCGUCGCGACGACUGCUUUUAUUAGACCAAACCGCUGACGGAUCGAGAUUGGGUUCUCUGCUCUUUCUGUUCCGAAGACUCGUGUAAUGGUGACUCUGGAUAACCAUCUAUGACAAGCGCACGUAUCCAUUAACUUGGGACGGCGCUUCCACUUACGAGUGUCUGCCUUAUCAGCUAUGUAUCGUUUAUUAUGCGCUAACGAUGGCUUUGACGGGUAACGGGGAAUCAGUGUUUGAUUCCGGAGAGGCAGCCUGAGAAACGGCUACCACGUCC
RNAcentral lists this ribosomal RNA (456 nucleotides) under Epimeria cornigera. RNAcentral describes it as "bacterial SSU rRNA". It matches the Rfam family "Eukaryotic small subunit ribosomal RNA", at positions 51 to 417 of the family's 1831-position model. The record is from RNAcentral. Lineage: Eukaryota; Metazoa; Arthropoda; Malacostraca; Amphipoda; Epimeriidae.